GGGGAAUUAGCUCAGUGGGAGAGCACUGCGCUGGCAGCGCAGGGGUCAGGGGUUCGAAUCCCCUAUUCUCCACCA
RNAcentral lists this transfer RNA (75 nucleotides) under Paenalicyclobacillus cycloheptanicus. Its description in RNAcentral is "Alicyclobacillus cycloheptanicus tRNA-Ala". It matches the Rfam family "tRNA". From Rfam's summary of the family: Transfer RNA (tRNA) molecules are approximately 80 nucleotides in length. Their secondary structure includes four short double-helical elements and three loops (D, anti-codon, and T loops). The record is from RNAcentral. Lineage: Bacteria; Bacillati; Bacillota; Bacilli; Caryophanales; Alicyclobacillaceae.